RNAcentral lists this long non-coding RNA (11820 nucleotides) under Ananas comosus (pineapple). RNAcentral's name for it is "long non-coding RNA (ACOM_LNC011416)". Lineage: Eukaryota; Viridiplantae; Streptophyta; Magnoliopsida; Poales; Bromeliaceae. The record is from RNAcentral.
UUACACUGUUACCCUCUGAACUUUUGGCGAAGUUUCACUUUACCCCACGAACUCCUAAAAUGGACAUCUAACCUCCUAAACUCUAGUAUUUCGUUCAUGUUACCCCUUCCGUCAGUUUUUCGUCAAGCUCCGUUAAUCGGAAACUAACGGAAGGGGUAAAACGAAUGAAAUAUUAGAGUUUAGGGUGUUAGAUGUCUAUUUUAGGAGUUUGGGGGGUUAAGUGAAACUCGCUAAAAGUUCAGGAGGUAAUAGUGCAAUUUACUCCGUAGGGGACUCUUGACUAUAAAUUAUUUUGUUAUAAUAUGUUACUUAUGGAUUGACUAUUAAUCCUCAAUUUAGUGAUCAUGCUUGAUUUUGAAUUUAUAUAUAUUUUUUAUUCUAAAAUAAAUUAUACCAUAAUUUAUCCUAUAUUUUAUUAUAAUAAAAUAAAAGUGAAAGAAAUGAAUUAGAGUGACUUAAAGAUAAAAAAAGAGCGAUACUAACUACUUACGAUGCUCGAAUACUCUACUAUCCUGGUGUACUCGCUAAUAUGGUUGAUUUACAAUAGGUGUCCUCACUCGGAUAUAGAGAUUUUAAUUCUUAGUUAAUUUUCUAUAGUACUCGUUUGUCUCUUUUAUCUUUAGAAGUAUUGUUCUAUAAAAUACACUUAAAUAAAAUUUUUGUACUUUAUUUCAGCCAAUUAAAAAUUUUUAAUAUAAAAAUAUAAAAAUAAUUUAUAGUAAAAAUUUGGGUGAAUUGUAUUGUUAUCCCCUGAACUUUUCGCGAGUUUCACUUAACGACUCCUAAAAUAGACAUCUAACACCCUAAAUGAUAAUAUUUAAUUCGUUUUAUCCAUUCCGUCAGUUUUCAGUUAACGGAGCUUGACGGAAAACUGAUGGAAGGAAUAAUAUGAACGAAAUAUUAGAGUUUAGGAGGUUAGAUGUCCAUUUUAGAAGUUCGAGGAGUAAAGUGAAACUUCGCCAAAAGUUCAGGGGGUAACAAUACAAUUUACCCUAUAUGCCUAUAUAACGCUAGAUAAAAUAGAGUUGUGGAAAAAACAUAUAGGGAUAUGUUUUUGCGUUCUUCAGUGGAACCGUAAAAAAUAUAUUGUAACUGACCUAUAUUCGUUUUAUCCCUAUAUGCUUUUUCUACAACUCUAUUUUAUCUAGCGUUAGAUAGGUCUCAAUACCAAACUAAACCUAAGUGAAUGAAAAUAGGUCAAAAUGGUUAUAAAGCCACUUAUUUAUGGAUAAUAAAAUUUUAACCAAGUCAAUGAGUUAUAGGCAGAGGAAGCUUGACAAGAAAACCACUUUUUAACAGAUUAAUCAUAACCGUUCAUUCUUAUUUGAGAUUUUUUUAAUUAAGUGAUCAUACCUAGUCGUGAAAAAUAUAAGGAAUAUUCUUUUAUUCCUUUUUGGAUUCUUUUAUAGAUAGAUAAGAAUGCUAUUUUUUAACAGAUUAAUUAUAACCGUUCAUUCUUAUUUGAGAUAUUUUUUUAAUUAAGUGAUUAUACCCGUUCGUACCCGCCCCUAGAAAAUAUAGGGAAUAUUUUUUUAUUCCUUUUUGAAUUCCGCCUGUCGUUGUCGGAAUUCCUAUACGCUUUUAUAUAUAGUAUAGAUAUGCAAAAGAAUUAAUUGAUCAACUUGCAUAAAAUUCUAACUUGACAAAAUUAUAUGAUUUAGUCUCUAUUAUAAAUAUAUUUUUUAUUUUGUAAAUUUGGCAUAAUGGAUGUACUUAGAAUAUUGGGCAUAUUUGGGACUAAAAUUUUAUGAGAGAGAUAUUUUUUGUACUCUAUUUUGAUUAUAAUAAAAGUUUCCGUUUAGUUUCGUCCUCAGACGUAGACUAAUAACUGAACCACGUAGAUAUUUAUUUUAUUUUUUCUUUUUCUUGAUUUUUUUAAAUAUUUUUACAGCCUACAAUUCAGAUUUUUUUUUCAAUUUUAUCAUAACAAUUUUUAGUGCUAAGAAUCUUAUGUUAGCUCCUCGUCAUUGUAAGAAAUAAAAGUUACUGCAGCAAGUAUUAUUCCUUUACUAUAUGGAAGCGCAAUUUCUUUUUUUUAUUUUUUUGAAAGAAAGGUAGAAUGCUACCCGCUUCGUUUAUUUUAUUUUAGAAAAAAACUUAGUUGGAAAUGUGAAUCAAUUAGGAUUCGAACUUGGGUUUCGGAUACCAACCACCAAGUUCUUUGCCAUUUGCUCUAGAGACGGUCGGUAUGGAAGCGCAAUUUCGUCACCUACAAAAGUGAAGCUGAAAUUGAGCGUCGGGUCCAAACUCCCAACAUCCAACCUCUUCUGACUCCCGGUGAAACAAACAUCCGCUUUUGCUUUUACAAGAAACGAUUGUUUCAAAUCAUUUAAAAGAUUUCUAACUCUCAAUUUAUAUUCAGGAUCUUACAUUAGCUUCUUGUCACUAGGAGAAACUUUACGCCUUUUUGUCAAUAGCUAUCGCGGCAACUAUAUAUUAUUAUUCGAAUUAAACAUGCAAUAAAUCUAAUGACCCAAACAAGAGAAUCUCUCCCCCAGUAGUGAAUGUGAGUGCAACAUGACCUCAAACCUAUAUUUUUGUUUUUUAAAAAAAAGUUGUGUGUUUUGUCUCUCAAACUUUCCUAUUUUCAUUUGUCAUUUAGGAAACCCAUGUUUUCACUUGUCAUUUAGGAAAACCCAGUUUCUUCCAAUUCCCACAGGUGGCAUCAUAACACUCUGAAUGAGGCAAUUGGACUCUUUUUUUUGUGAAGUUCUCGGACACUUCACAUUGGAGUAAUACUACAGAAAGGGACGUGGUUAGAUGAGGCACAUCAAUUAGGAGGAGGAGUAAAUAAAACGGGUGGUAAUAUUAACAGAGUCAUAUUUAUUAUCUUAGUGUUGGCUUAAAAGAGGCAAAUCGUUUGUUUGAAGUGGCGGAAGGUCGGAUUGAAUCGAGCCACAAUCGAAAUUCACAUGUAUUGUAUCUGUAUAUUUCUAACGGCUCGAGUUUUUGAAAUUAACGAUCUUACAUAUACAAAUAUUAGCUCUAAUUCAGCCGGUUAAUAAUAGUAACCAAAUUUAAUUUUGGAUUUUCACAAUGUCGCUGCCCAAAAAAUAAUGUUCAGAAAAACAUAAAGAUGUUUACUUAUGCCUUGAGACGCCAUUAUUAAUGACCCAUUUUAAUAGUGGGGAACGCUUUAAACAAAUGAGCCGCCCUAGAAAACUUGGGACCUGCGGUGACCGUUAUCUCGUCACCUCUCUUUAAAUAUCGUGCGUGUGGGAGCCGCCCCUUUCUUCGCGCCAUUUUUAAAAUCCUCUCCUUUGUCCCUUUCGUCGUCCCCAUCAAAUCCCCAAUACGCAUCACCCACGUCCACGUCUCUUACUCUAAUCAAUGGAGUUAUACACCCCCCUCCCUCUUCAAUAUAAAUAUAGCAGGAAUAGUAGGAGAAAGAGACUAGGGCUAAUUCUUUUUGUUUUGAGCACCAAACAUGAAAGGAAUGAGGUGGGUGGAGGAGGGAAUCAUGGAGAAGAAGAGGUAUAGGAACGGUAGAAUUUGGAAUUUUGAGAUGGCGAGGGAGGCGGACGGAGGAGGCGGCGGCGGCGAGGUUAUCCUUGGCCUCGACGGCGGCACCACCACCACCGUGUGCGUGUGCAUCCCCGCCGCCGCGCCCUUAUCGGGUCGCGCUGGCGAGCCCCUCCCUAUCCUCGCACGAGCCGUAGCCGGUUGUUCGAAUCACAACUCCGUUGGAGGUUAAGAUCCUAAAAUGCCCAUUUGUAGAAAGAAAAAGAAUAAAGUUUUAAUCUUUGAUGAGUUUUGGGUUUUCGUGGUUUCGAUUUAUGAUGAUUAAAUUAGAGUACAUUUGUGAUAACAUCAAAACACUAAAAAUGAGAUUUUUUUUUUAAUCUUUUUAAACCUUGGAAAGAAAGGCUAAAGUUAUUAGCUUUCCACAAAACUCGAUUUUAUCAUCCUUAAAAAUCGUUUUAUGUUUUGAAAAUUCUCAGAAACCAGGGCGAGAGAGACACUCGAGAAGGUUAUGGCUCAAGCGCUUUUACAGGCCGGCUCUAAUCGCUCUGCGGUAUCCGCUGUUUGCUUAGCUGUAGCCGGUGUGGAUCAUCCGAUCGAUCAACAAAGGCUAUUGAAUUGGCUCAGGUUCGCUCUUUAACUGUAACAUAAAUCCCCCUUUUAUCUGCUGAUCAACCUUUUCUCUUGCUAUAUUCAGUGUAAUACAGUGAGGUUAUGUCUGUUUCUAAUCUGCUGUUCUACUAAAUCUUAUUUUUGUAGAGAAAUUUUCCCGAGCCACGUCAAGUUAUUCGUACAGAACGAUGCUGUCGCGGCUUUGGCCAGCGGAACCAUGGGCAAGCUCCAUGGUUGUGUGCUAAUUGCGGGGACGGGUACUAUCGCUUACGGGUUCACUGAUGAUGGAAGAGAAGCCCGAGCCGCAGGAGCUGGUCCAAUCUUGGGUGACUGGGGAAGGUUGGUUUGCUCAUUUCAAUCCUUAGAUACACAUAUUCAUUUAUGUGGGAAAAGAAAAAAAAUUGUUUGCAUUUAAUGCGCGAAAAGGUAUGAUUCAUGUGGCAUGUUAUUUAGGAUGGCAUGUUGUGAUAUGAAAUCAUGAUUGUUUGCAUGUAUGAAAUGCAGUGGAUACGGAAUUGCCGCACAAGCGUUAACAGCCGUAGUUAAAGCUCACGACGGGCGUGGCCCUCAAACGUUGCUUACGCAUAACAUGCUUGAAAUUCUGAGUCUCUCUUCGCCAGAUGAACUAAUCGGGUAUAUUUCUUUCUAACCAUAUCUUUUCUUUAUCUGACAGCAUGUUCUUGACAGUAAAGCCGAUGUUUUCAUCCUUUUUUAUACUAGAAAUAGUUAUAAUUUUAGACAUGUUCAUAAGCUGUGAACUCCCUUUUAUGUAAUUUCUCGAACAGGUGGACAUACGAAGAUCCUUCCUGGGCCCGCAUUGCUGAUCUUCUACCAGUAGUGAUAUCCUCUGCUGAAGCUGGCGACGAAGUUGCAAAUAACAUUCUACAUAAUUCGGUCGCAGAGUUGGCCGAUAGCGUCAAAGCUGUUGUCAGAAGACUUGGUUUGAGUGGUGAAGGUGCGAAAAAAAAAAAGAAGCAACAUUCCUCUGGACUUGAAAUCAAAUUCUCAAUCACCCUCAUUCUUUUUGUUUUUUCUUAUUUUUCUGUCGCAGACGGAAAAGAUCCAUUCCCGCUUGUCAUGGUGGGGAGAGUUCUUGAAGCGAACGAGAGUUGGGAUAUCGGCAAGGAAGUGAUAGAUUGUAUCACCAAGAUAUAUCCAGGAGCUCAUCCCAUUCAUCCCAAAGUGGGUAAAUUUUGAUCAACAAGAGAAGUUUGAUAAAUGAAACAUUAUGUGCUUCUCUGAAUCUUUCUGUUUUUUCUUGGUGUGAUUAGACAGUAAAAGAGCACAUUCAAUUGAGAGGAUAAAUCAAAUCUGAAAUUCUGAUGCACAAUGCCUUUUUUGCCUCUGCAGGUGGAACCAGCUGUUGGUGCAGCUCUGUUGGCUUGGAAUUUUGUUAUGGAUGAGUUAUACUGCCAAAUUGCAAGUGAUAUUUAGUCCAUAGUUUCAGCUGGGAAGAUCUCCAGGUUAAUUUUUAGAAGAUUUGUCGCAGUUUGUAUUCCCCCCCUCUAGUGUCUGAUCUUUUUAGAAGGCUGUGUAGUAUCUUGUAUUCUUCAUUAAUUUACUUUAAUAGGGCGUAAAAUUAUGUUCAGUGAAUAUUUAAUGCAAGUGUAAUGAGGGCAGAGUUUGCUUGUUUGCACCUAAAAGAGUGCACAUCCUAUUAUAUUUUCAUGCUUGUGAAUAGCUGAAAUUGUUUCUGAGUUGAGGUUUAGGGUUUCACAUUACUAACUGCUUAAUUCACUAUUUGAAUGGAGAGAAGGAGAGAGAGAAGAAAAGAGAGAAAAGAAGGAAAAAUAAUACUGUGACAAGCUCUUUUCUCCUCAUAUUUUCUAAAUACCCAAACACUGGAAUAGAAAUUUAUUUUCCUUUCUUUUCUUUUCUCUUCUCUCCCAUUCUCUCCAUUUGAGAAAUAAGCCACAAUUGAUUGCAAACUCCACAAAACUAGUCAUUCAUAAAACUGCACAAAUAUCUGCAGAAGCCAAAAGGAGAAUACAAUUUGCCAUUUACACUCUACACAGCUUGAGCCAAAACGUAGAAUACAUGUGUUAAUGCCAACUCUAAGCAUUACCUCAAACGAAAAAAAAAAACAAAAGGGGGAAAAGAAAAAAAAAGAAAUCAUUGACAACUGUGAACCGGGUUCUCAAAGUUUUCGGCUCCUCGAAAGCCUCGGCAGGUUAAUAUGGUUCAGAAUCAUCAGCAAUCUAAAAAAGGAAGUCACUUCCGCGAUGCUCAAAUAUGCUAUAUCCGAUGUAUGUUCCAUGUUGAAUUACAUCGAACCUAUGCUUUCACCCUUCAACUCUCUUUGGACUAAUUUUAGAACCUCCAUCACCUGCAAAAAUGUUGAAAGAUGUCUUCAUAAGCAAUUAAAGAGUUUAGCACCCUUGCGCAAAACAUGGAAGAAAUAAUUAAUUCUACAAUUAAAGAUAAAGAAACACUAAACAGAGACAGCUCACCCCAGGAUAAUGUUGUAACACCGGAGAAUAAUGAUCGAGCGCUAUGUAUAUCUUUCCAAGAAGACUAAGAAGAGAAUCAACUUCAUCCCCCAGCAGAUCAACCUGAGUGAAAUAUAAGAUAUAAAACAUAUCAAUGUUAUCAAAUUGAGAAAGUAUACGUCAGUUUAAGUCAGAGAACCAUGCCAACAUUGUUUUCACAAGAUUAGGGAUACCCAAAUUGAACAGGCGUGCAAAAUUUGGUUAAAUACGGAAGAACCUCUAAGCUAUUUAAAAUGGCCGAUGGAGACAAUAUAUUCUCGCCUAUUUACUUCGCAAUUUCAGAAAGGAAAUCUUUCGAGGACUAAGAGUAAACUUGUUUGUCCAGAUCUAAAUGAACACCAUCUAACAUCUAUUGUUCCCUCUCAUGUAAGCCCUCUUCCCAGUUUCCACCAUAGUUAUGAAAUAUACUUGUUUUCGUCCAAUGUUUUGCUUUUAAAAAUGUAAUCUAAGGAAAUGUGACAAGAUAUAGACAAAAGGAAGAGUAAAAGCAAGACCGACGACAUAGAGGCAACCAUCUAACCAGAAUCAGAGUAUCAUACCUCCGCUUCAGCCUUCUGAAGGUCAGAACAUCUUAUCUCAAGCAUUUGUUUAUACCAGAGUACCUUUUUCUUUAGCACGACGGCUUGUUGGACCAGUGGCCUGCACCGAUGGCUCAGUGUUUUUAACCUGCAAUUGCUUGAAAUUUCAGCCUCUACAAUUACCGGAAAAUGGACCUAGAUGAAAUAUGUUACAAAUUCAAGUCUAUUUGAGUAUAUGCAACUUAUAUUAACCUUGUUGAGAUUACUUUGAUUUAUUACAAGAUGAAAGAGUUUAUUUGCACUGCUAAUAUGUGAAUGAUAUUUUAAGUUGCCCAAGAAAUUAAUUAUAACUUACCCAAUAUUUUAAGUAACAAAAAAGAUAAGUCCGGGAAGAAGGUUCACAGAUUCAUGAUAUCUGGAGAACCGAAAAUUUCUUUAGGUCACUUAUGAAUGGAACUACUACUAAAAAAUAAACCUGUUUUUUAGAAACAUUUUAUGACUCAAAUCCUAAAACCUACUCUCUUGUCUAGAAAAGCUACUAUGUUCAAGUCAGUGAUAAUCAAGAAUAGUGGACAAAGACAUUAAAAUGAAAAUAAGCACCUGUUUUCAUUUCUUCUGAUCUUCUCUUGCAUUUUGUUUUUGAAAUCAUCGAAUGCUUUUGACAUCUCAGCCAUAGCGAACAUACUGCAUUCUAACCACUUCACUUGCUCCUUGUCCUUCAAAACAGAUGAUGAUAAUGUCCUUUGCUUCUCCUCAACAAUACCACAAAGUAGGAGGUUUUGUUUUUCUGCUUCAUCCAAAGCAUUUGUAGUGGUAUUUAAAUCUUGCUUCUGUUUACUUAUCUCCAAUUCAUAAUCAAGAACUAGCUGGAAUGCCUCAUCCAAUUGAGUUUUCAUUGAAUCUGAGUCCUUCCUAAAAUCCGAGAUCAACUUCUCCUGCUUGCCUACUUGAUCUCUAAGAAUGUUAAGGUCAUGGCAUACUAUGUCAUAUUGCUCCUUUUGCUGAAUCAACGAAGACCGUGCCUCUAAUGCUAAUUGAUCCUUUUCGUUAAUCAAAACCGACAAAGAUGUGGUCUCCUGCUUCAUCCUCUGGUUCUCUUCAUUUGCUAAACUUAAUGCCUUUUCCUUUUCCAAAAGCGUCUCCUUUAGAGAAGCUUUUUCAUCAAAAUAUUUUUGCAUAGCAGGAUUUCUAGGUGAUAAAGCUUCACAGAAAACUCCUUGCAGCAAAAUGGAAUAUGUCACCUGCAUAAUAUUGUUCUGGAUCUCUAUAUCCUCCAUGAAGCAACUGUAAUCAUUGAAAAUUCCUCUUAAAAUAGAGCGGUCUACUACAUCUUUAACAUUACCUUCUACCUUCAAGUCCUCCACUUCACCUUUAAGAUUCUUAACUUGCUUCAAAAGUGUAGCCUCCAACGACGAAUGAAGAGACAUCUUACUCGCUGCAUCUGAGACCUGCGAUGAUAGGUGCUUAACCUCUUUUCUUUUAUCCGAAAGCAAGCUACGGAGAUGCUGGUUUUCAAAAAACAGGGACUCAUUUCUGUCCUUCAAUCUACAUAUUUCUUCACAGUCCUUACUAAUCACAGGAAAGUCUGCACUGUUAAAGACUAUUUCAUCCAGCUUUGAAACAACUUCGGACACUUUUCUCCUAACCAGUUCAAACUCUUUGUCUUUUCUAAAAGGCACCGUGCCCUUCUCCUUGUGGAAUUCUCGCUUGAGUCGAAAGAGCUCUUCGGUCUUCUCUUGCAAUGCUACGUCGUGUUGUCUCCUCAACUUGGUCAUUUCUGAAAUAAAGAACUUCAUUAUUUCUUCACUUGGCUUGUGCUUUAGAUAUAAGAAAUCAGCAACAUCUAACACGAAAUCAUCAGAGUUAACAGAUUUCACAGCCUCGAGAUUCCCGUUUUCCACCUGAUGCGAUGGAAUACCCUCUCCAUCGUUCCUUUUGAUAACAUUCACUUCUUCGAAACUCUCACGGCUACUAUGAGUGAAAAGCAUACCCAUUUCUGAACCUAUCAAUGACGUAGAAAUAGCAUCAAGUUCUUUACGCAAGGUAGUAAAUUCCGUGAUCUUUUUGUGCCACCUCAGAUUCAUGGUUUCGAUAAGACCCUUUUGCUCAUACAAUUUUGCCUCAAACUCAUGAUGAAGGCCUCUUAUAUAAUCAUGAAUCAUGGUACUAGUGACUUCUUUUCGGAACUCGUGCUCCCACUGGUGCUCAAAGAUUAACACUUUAAUCAUACCAAACGCAUCACUUAUUUGUUCCAAUCCGGACGACAGUAUUAGUCUCAACCCAUCAAUCCUUUCAUCGAUCUCAACUAAUCUUUUGUUAGUAUCUACUUCAGCGUGAAUUUUCUCACUCGAAUAGCUGUCUCUUAAAUCUGCAAUAUUCUCCUUAAGCCUUUGAAACUGCUCUUCUGCUGCAAUCCUCAGUGUAGCGACAUGAUCGGUGUUAGUAAAUUCUUCCGCGCUUGCGUCUAAAAAUCCUUGACGCGACCGUGAUUCCGUCCUGUCGAUUCCCGCAUUCAUCAAGCUGCGUUUAGGAAUCAUCGAAAUUAUCCCCAAUCUGUCGUCUAAAUCCGCAUUAGACUUACAGGAAAGCAGAGUCUUGUUCAAUACAGCUAUCUCCGCCUCCUUCGUCGCAAUCUUCUCCGCAGCCUCCUCAACCACGGCAUUCACCAUUCCUUUGGUAACCGAAUCGCUCACCAUCCUCAUCACAUUUAGACGAUCGUUGAGCUCGUCCCAGUAAGAUUCCAAAUCAUCAAGGAUAAACUUCUCAUAAAAAGCUGAAUCGUUCGCUGUAUUAUUGUCCCCUUCUUUAAAGCUAGUACUUAAUAGUUUACACUCAUUAAGACCAACAAUCUCAUUCAACACCUCAGAGUUAUCACUUUGUGCCUGCAUGUAGGACCGGAAAAAUCUAAAAAGAUGGAAAAUUUGGGAAAAUUAAGAGUAAAAAUGUCUGAUUUUGAGUUGCAUAUGGUAUACAAGAAGCUUAUUUUUCUCUUACUACAUAAUUUUGAUGAAGAGAAUAGAGAAAAUUACUACUUUUACAGUUACCACGAGAUCAAACUCCCAAAACAACACGCACAAUUCUGAGAAGAGCAAAAUUAAAUUAAAAACACAAGGGAUUAAACAAUUUUUAAUGACUCGACCACUGAAACUUUUGGGCAAAAAUGGGUUAAUCGGAAACAAAUUAAUUCCCAAGCAAACAAAUCAAAAUACUCACAAAUUGGAUCCGCUCCAUGAGCGGAGCGGAUGCGCACGAACGAUUCCACUUCGAAAUUCCCGCCACAACCGUUGCCGAAGCGCGAAAGCCCUCGUCUUUUUUCCUUGGUUGGUACGAGACUUAUCUCCGAACAGUGGAGGAGCGGCAAAAGGACGAAUCUUUUUGCGGAAAAGCCCUUCAAAUUUUCUUUUUUGGGUGUUGCGGGGGAGACUUUUAGGCAGUGUUUGGUUGGCAGGAUAAAGUGGGUUUAGACCAUUUUAUCCUGCUAAACCUUCCAAACAGUGCAGUUUUUUGGUGGGAUAAUUAAUCCCGCUCUUAACGGGUUAUCCUUGGAUAACCCGUUAAGAGCUAACCCCUGGGACCAGCGGAAUAGGGCAUUUCCGCUGGUUUAUCCCAGGGGCAUGGGUUGGAAAAAGCUGCGAUGCCCCUUCUCCUUCUUCUUCGUUAUUGCUCUUCACCUACCUUCGCCUCUUCUUCUUCGUUAAUGCUCUUCACCUACCUCUCUCUUCGCUCAUUACUCCGCCGAUCUCCCUCCCCCUCGUGUUGGGCGAGCAUAAACCAUCGCUUUAUGCCUCUUUUGUCAUUUCGCAGUCAGCAUAAUCAAUGAGCGAGAUCUUGUAUCAGAUCUGCGUUCAUCGGUAACUCCUCUUUGCCCUUUACUUUCUUCUUCUAUACUCCUCUCGCAGUCUGUGAGGAAGAUCCCAGUUGAGAUCUGUUUUCUUUUGUAUCCCCUCUCUCAAACCCUCGGAUUUGACUGGUAUAAAUUGGUUUUUCCUUCGCUCAAAAUCUGUUGUGGGCUUCUGAGGCAAGAAAUCGAGGUGGGUUCUGCAGGAUGUAUGCCCUGUGUUGUCAAGUCGCCCAUUUAGUGCGACCACUAGCCUUGCAGGUAGAAGGCAUGGACUAUUUGUGCCNUGUGAUAAUUUUUUACAUUUGAAGGGGUAUAUAUGAUAUUUUCAAUUUUAUAGGGGUAUUUACGAUAUUUAGAUAUUUAAGAGGGGUAGUGGUGAAAUUGCCCCUUAUAUAUAUAUAUAUUUUUUUAAAAAAAAGACAAAAAAAGAGGGGAGGAGCGUAUCGAUGUAGGGGCGAGAUUUACGGAACUGCUACUCUAAUAAUAAAAUAAAGGAAAAACUUUCUAUUUCUUAUUUUAGUAUUAUAUGAUUUAAAGUGUAUCAAGUUAGUACCUUAUAAUUUUAUAGUUUCUUACUUUAGUACCCUGUGAUUUAAAAUGUAUCAAGUUAGUACUUGUGAUUUCGCACUUUCUCACUUUAAUACUCUAUAAUUUAAUAUUUCAUUAAGAAAAAAAUAAAAUCACAGAAUACUAACUUGAUAUAAAAAUAAAACUACAGAGUACUAAUUUGAUAAACUUUAAACCACAAAAUAUUAAAAUGAAAAAGUGCGAAACCAUAAAGUGCUAACUUGAUACACUUUAAAUUAUUGGGUACUAAAAUAAAAAAGUGCGAAACACAUGGAAGUUUUUGAAGUUUUUCCUAAAAUAAAGUUAUUAAUGAUAUUUUGGUUUAAUUAUU